AGUGAACGCUGGCGGUAGGCCUAACACAUGCAAGUCGAGCGGCAGCACAGUAAGAGCUUGCUCUUACAGGUGGCGAGUGGCGGACGGGUGAGGAAUACAUCGGAAUCUACUUUUUCGUGGGGGAUAACGUAGGGAAACUUACGCUAAUACCGCAUACGACCUACGGGUGAAAGCAGGGGAUCUUCGGACCUUGCGCGAUUGAAUGAGCCGAUGUCGGAUUAGCUAGUUGGCGGGGUAAAGGCCCACCAAGGCGACGAUCCGUAGCUGGUCUGAGAGGAUGAUCCGCCACACUGGAACUGAGACACGGUCCAGACUCCUACGGGAGGCAGCAGUGGGGAAUAUUGGACAAUGGGCGCAAGCCUGAUCCAGCCAUACCGCGUGGGUGAAGAAGGCCUUCGGGUUGUAAAGCCCUUUUGUUGGGAAAGAAAAGCAGCAGGUUAAUACCCCGCUGUUCUGACGGUACCCAAAGAAUAAGCACCGGCUAACUUCGUG
This 492-nucleotide ribosomal RNA is filed under the name uncultured bacterium. RNAcentral's name for it is "partial 16S ribosomal RNA". It matches the Rfam family "Bacterial small subunit ribosomal RNA", at positions 29 to 507 of the family's 1533-position model. The record is from RNAcentral.